AUUGAACGCUGGCGGCAGGCCUAACACAUGCAAGUCGAGCGGUAACAGGGAGCUGGUUGCUUGUUUCAUCGGGGGACGGGGGAGGAAGGCCAAUGACUCGGCCUGUGCGUGAUGGAGAGGGUCAACUAACGGGAGCGAAUACUACAUCCGCCUUACGUCAGAAAGCGAAAGAGCGUGGGACUCCGGGCUCUCACCUUCGCCUAUGUCGGAUUAGCUAGUAGGUGGGGUAAGGGUCUACCAAGGCGACGAUCCGUAACUGGUCUGAGAGGAUGAUCAGUCACACUGGAACUGAGACACGGUCCAGACUCCUACGGGAGGCAGCAGUGGGGAAUAUUGGACAAUGGGCGCAAGCCUGAUGCAGCCAUGCCGCGUGUGUGAAGAAGGUCUUCGGAUUGUAAAGCACUUUAAGCUGGGAGGAAGGGAAGUAAGUUAAUACCUUGCUGUAUUGACGUUACCCACAGAAUAAGCACCGGCUAACUUCGUG
This 484-nucleotide ribosomal RNA is filed under the name uncultured bacterium. Its description in RNAcentral is "partial 16S ribosomal RNA". It matches the Rfam family "Bacterial small subunit ribosomal RNA", at positions 30 to 507 of the family's 1533-position model. The record is from RNAcentral.